RNAcentral lists this long non-coding RNA (231 nucleotides) under Dasypus novemcinctus (nine-banded armadillo). RNAcentral describes it as "lncRNA (ENSDNOG00000052120.1)". Lineage: Eukaryota; Metazoa; Chordata; Mammalia; Cingulata; Dasypodidae. The record is from RNAcentral.
CCAGGAAGUCGCAUGGUUGGCUGGAGAGGAUUUGGUCAGGAAUAAGAUGCAACUUCAAACCUCCUCCACUGGUUCUGUGUGAUCAGGAUGCGAAGAUCCUCACUGCCAGCUGUGAAAAAUGGAUGAUGUCCAGACACGCAAGUGCCUUCGACGUGCCACAUUUGGCAAUAAUGUGGUGUCUCCUCACUCAGAGCCUACGCUAUGGAUGGGAACCCAUAUUUUACCUGGAAC